ACACCCAUCAAGCCUGGCUUGGUAUUGGGCGACGGGACCUCCCCGCGCCCCGAUUUCGCCGGCUGGACGACCCUGAUCUCGCAAGCGUAGCACAAUCUCGCUGGUGGGACGGGCGGCCACGCCGUUAACCUCAAUCAAACA
Molecule: unclassified non-coding RNA, 141 nt
Filed under: uncultured Capnodiales
Lineage: Eukaryota; Fungi; Ascomycota; Dothideomycetes; Capnodiales
Also listed under: 1 other name
Description: sequence contains ITS2
Source: RNAcentral